Long non-coding RNA from Aegilops tauschii subsp. strangulata, 1294 nucleotides. RefSeq lists it as uncharacterized. The record is from RefSeq and is a predicted model, not a curated record. Lineage: Eukaryota; Viridiplantae; Streptophyta; Magnoliopsida; Poales; Poaceae.
CCGCACUACAAAACCAGCGAACCGACCAUGUACACACCUCCGAUAUGGACUGCAGCAACCACGAGAAAAAACUCCAACGAUCCAACUUUCUCCACCCAUUGCACUUUCUCUCACCCCCGAGCGGGCGCACGACCCCCACCUCCUCCUUCCCCACAUGUGCAUCCCCGCCGCCGGCGUGCCCCAUCCCGCGCCCUUCUUCGCCGUUGGUGCGCCCCAUCCCGCCGCCUUCUUCACCACCACCGUGCCCCUUCCUGCGGCCUUCCCCACCACCUCCCGCCACGCUCCACCCUUCCUCGGCCCACCACCUCCUUUCCCCGAUCCACACCUUCCAGACCCCGACGCCUCCAGCAACGGCGCAUGUGGGCCUCCCGCCCACUACCGCCUCCCUCCUCUCUAGUGGUCGGCUUCCCAAGCGACAACGCGCGUCCCAUCUCCCCAAUCCCCAGAUCCACUAGGGGGAUCCCACGCUCACCGCGCCCACAGGGUCCCGCGCUACGACCGGCGAACUUUCUGGAUCCGGCCUUCCUGAUGGCCGUGGAGUAUGAAGACCACCGGAUCCCCCCUCCCCCGCGACGAUAGGCUCUCCUCCAGCUCGCCUACCAAGACCACGACGCGGGGAGGUACCCCCACUGCCUCUCUUUAGCGACGGGGGUCGUCGGCCACUCUCCCCUCCCCGUUCCACCACCUCCCUCCUGACUGUGGCACGACUGGUUGCUGUGCUCCAGUCGGCUCCUCCGGCGAGCUUGCAGACGACGUGACGAGGAGAUCCAACAGUCUCCGGCCUGCGGGUGGCGGCUGCCUCUGUCCUCCUCUCCCCCUAUGCCCCAGCAGCAACAGGAAGAUGGCGUUGUGGUGCAGUGUGCCUCUGUUUGCAGUUUUGUUGGUGUGGACAUGCGUUUUUGGCGUGGCUCAUUUUCUUUCCUACCUUCGUGACCCAUGUGCCAUUCGCGAGGUGAAGCCGCCUCCCAUUUUGCAGGGGUGUGUGCGUCGAGUACGGCAGCUGCAAUGUGCAGUCCGGCGGGGUAGCGUGUGCAAUGCUCACCCGAUGCGAUUUAGUUUUUUCUGUGCACUCACUAAGAAAGAGAAGAGAACAUCGAUGUUCAUUUGAAGUUUGAUUUGUUGUUUAUGGGAAACACAUAGAGAAAAGGGGAGUGAGAAUGGAUGGUCAUUUUGAAUAAGCAAGUCUUUCCCUAGUGCAGUUCUAUUGGGUACUGCAUCGUUGAUUCUGCUAUGUACUAGAUGGCUGUGUGGAUGUGUAAAAAAUAAUGAAUGGAUACGUAUGUUUUUAAGCUCA